RNAcentral lists this long non-coding RNA (2363 nucleotides) under Triticum aestivum (bread wheat). RNAcentral describes it as "long non-coding RNA (TAES_LNC022456)". The record is from RNAcentral. Lineage: Eukaryota; Viridiplantae; Streptophyta; Magnoliopsida; Poales; Poaceae.
GAACUGUUAGUACAUGGAGAGCCGGUGGAAAGAAAUAACAAGGGAACAACACCAAAUCAGAGAGGCUAUUGGAGUAUGGAAACCCUAAACCCUAAGCACCUGCAAAAUCACCAGAAAAUUUGCAGAGAUCACAUAAUCUAUCUAUUCCACGACACUAAACUGGUCAGUUUGCAUAAAAGCACUGGGGACAUAGAAUAACCACAAUAUUUAGCAUGUACAGUGCAAAAAAAAGAGCAUUUCCAAAGUAGUAAAUUAUAGUAGCUAUAAGCCUAAAAACACUGAAAAUACAGUUACCAAAUUGCUGAAAUUACAUAUACUAGAAAAUCAUGUGCACAACUAAGGUUGCUUACACAAAUGGGCAGAAAUAAAGUACGAGUAUACCAAUAACCCUAACAAAAGAAAAUAAAUUGUUCUAAAGUGAAUGCACCAACAAUGACAAAACCCAAACAUCCUGAGGGCUAAAUUAACUAAAAAGAUAAUGUGAUUACUCUCAAAUACUCACUGUAAUUACACUGAAAUCCCCACUGUAAUUACAAUUCAAAAGCACUAUAAUUCCACUGAAAAUGCACAUAAUAAUUCCACUAAAAUUUCACUGAAACAUACAUUGUGCUCACAGUACAAAUUUCAGUAAAAUUAUACCAGAUUUCUAAUAAAAACACAUGCAUUUAAGAGAUUAGAACAUUGUGAUUACACUUUAGUUUCAGUAAUAUCCAUUUAGACUUUCAAAUGGUAAACUGGAUUCAAUACAAAUCCAACAAAGAGAAACCCAAAAUGUUCGGUUCUAAAAGUGCAAGUGGGCAUUGCAAAACUAGGAAGCUUCCAGUACUUGCCUAUGGAACUUGCAGUACUAAAAAACUAGGAAACUCACCAGUGUGAUACAAAUUCAAAAAUGUUGCAAACUAAUGGAAUUCAAAUGGAAGUUACACUACUUACUUGUGGAACUUACACUACUGAUUAGGGAACUCAAACCUAUGACUACAUGACUCGUCGAGCGAGGCCUUGCUUUCUAUAAACACCUCACCAUUGAAUGAGAAACUUAGUCUCCGAAACGACUAAGACAGAAGACAUGGUCAAGCCGACGCCGCCCUUCCUCACAUGCCCGAAUGGAAUUAAUAUUUUAUUCAUCUAGUCGGGAAGGGAAAAAGACUGGCAGCGAACAGGACCGUGACUCAUCUAAACCAUUACAUGAAAGAGAAGUUCAUUCUCGUCAUGAUCCUGAAAUAUAACACACACAAAACCCUAAGCAUCAAAUAUAUGAGGAUACAACAACACUGACAUGACUGUACCAAACCAUACUACAGAAUGAGUGAAAAACUGAAAUUGCACAACACCAAAACUGAAAAUUACACAACCUAAUAAGGAGAUAGCAUCUAAAGUACCAACACCUCAUUAUAGAAGUACUAGGGCAGAGAAAUUCAUGAACAAAAAAUAGCUGAAGAUACAACACAAACCACCAAAUACAUACAGAACCAAAACAGAAUGAAUAAGAACAUUCACAUGACUAAGGACCUGACUUCAGACGAGGGAGGUUUGCCUAAAUUACUACUACAUCUCUACAUCACUUGAACCUAAAUUCAGAUCAAUGAUUGACAAUUAGGACAUGCAUCCACAUCACAAGGGCCAUCAGAAUAAAAAAUGACUGGUGAACCAAAUUCAGAGCAAGGAGCAAGGAUUGACCAUUACCGCCGACUUCUACAUCACACAGACGAGCAAAAUCAACCGACCAGGGCAAAGGAAAUUUAGAGCAAGGACUGAAAUAAGCACCUGCAUCUACAUCACACGAACAUACAGAAACAAGCAACCAAGGAACCUACAUCUAACCCCCCCAAAACACCCUCUGAAUCAGACUCCCAGGCUAGCAGAUAUCAAAUCAACAGGGGAAGAGCAAGGAACUAAGGACCUACAUCUACAUAACAUGAACGAUCAAGAAUAAAACUACCAAUACCACUAGAUCCAGCAGAUCAGACGCCUAGGCCAGCACAUAGAAAAUCGACAGGGGAAACGAAUUCACCGCUACAUCCAUGCACCUACCACUACAAGAACAACAAGAAUUGCCAGAGAAAAUACACCGCUAUGAGUACACGUACACGUACGUCUAUAUCAAACACCGGGGGAAUUGAAUCAAACCAGUAGAUCUAGAAGAAAUCCAGUGGGGGAAAGAGAGCAGACGAGAACAACCAACCAAAACCACAAGAAACUGGAUCGGAAAUCAAGCUGUAGUAGAGAAGGAGCUGGGAAUCACCAUGGUGGACAAGGAAAUCGCCAAGGAAUCGAAAGGACAGAAAUGGAAAAAAAGGAGACAGAGGGCUAGGGCCUAGGGGAUGGGCACUUGGGCAGUAACGGGUUGGCCCGGAAACUAUUAC